Molecule: non-coding RNA, 336 nt
Organism: Paramuricea clavata
Lineage: Eukaryota; Metazoa; Cnidaria; Anthozoa; Malacalcyonacea; Plexauridae
Source: the annotation of a GenBank genome assembly
CUGGGUUAUGGCAUGGUACGGAUCACGACAAUUAAUUGAAGGAUCUUUAGCAAGGAGCAAAUACAACAUAGGAAGAUGAUAACCAGUAUCAUCCCUAGCUCUUCCCUCGAAACAUCCCUUUCUUUUCAAAUUGAGCAUGGCACUAUUAUCAAGAAACCGAAACUGAGCAGCUGGAUCCAGACAGUUGUUGGAAAGUUCCACAUAAGUUAAGUUUCCCCAAGGCUCGUCCGUCUGUAGCAUUCCUGCGACACUAAUACACAUCCCUGUCUGCACAUGUUUCACAAAGAAACCAGCAGCGCCUGAAACAAAACACGAAAAUAAAAAGAAAUAACGAAG